This 661-nucleotide unclassified non-coding RNA is filed under the name Hevea brasiliensis (rubber tree). Lineage: Eukaryota; Viridiplantae; Streptophyta; Magnoliopsida; Malpighiales; Euphorbiaceae. The record is from RNAcentral.
AAAACAAUUAACUGAUUACUCAAAAAUGCUUUGUUCAAUCACAAACUCCGAACUACAAAUGCCCUCCCUUCAAAUUCAAUGAAUGAGUUUGUUUGGGCUUAAGUGAUGGUAAAAUCGUAUUAUUAGAUGUAGGACUUCGGUUCAUGAAAUAACCAAAAUGUCAAGAAAAAGCUACAAGAUAGGAUCAUAUACUAGUCUGAGAAACAAUUCCAGACUGAAAUGAAAUCCGCAGACGCAUGAGGUCCAAGGGAAUACAUUAUUACGAGUACUUCAGAACAACCGGAAAAUGUCCACAGCUCAGCUCAUUGUGUUGUUUCAACAAGUUUCUCAUCCUUCUUUCCUUUGCCCCUGGUAAAGAACUUGUACCCUCCAAAGAAGAGUAGGCCCCAUCCCGAUAGAGAGACAAUCACGAAAUGCUCCUCCUUCCAUUUAGAUGGGCUCAUGGGAUCUUGCCAGCAGUUAACCUUCGGUGGUCCAUGGUGGUCGGCAGCGCCAGCGAGGCCGCGCCUGUGAAUAAGGGUGGCGGUUGACUGAGGAGAGGAGACUCGAGUUAGGGCUCUGGCUUGACGAACUGCAGCCGCCGCUAAGGUAGCCAUGGAUUCAGAUUUUCUUCCCUACAGAGAGAGAGAGAUCGAUCAAUGAGGCUGAUACGGCGAAACGG